GCCCAGGUGGUGGAAUUGGUAUACACAACAGUUUGAGGGGCUGUGCCAGCAAUGGCGUGCGGGUUCAAAUCCCGCCCUGGGCA
Molecule: transfer RNA, 83 nt
Filed under: bacterium
Lineage: Bacteria
Description: tRNA-Leu
Rfam family: tRNA
About the family: Transfer RNA (tRNA) molecules are approximately 80 nucleotides in length. Their secondary structure includes four short double-helical elements and three loops (D, anti-codon, and T loops). Further hydrogen bonds mediate the characteristic L-shaped molecular structure. tRNAs have two regions of fundamental functional importance: the anti-codon, which is responsible for specific mRNA codon recognition, and the 3' end, to which the tRNAs corresponding amino acid is attached (by aminoacyl-tRNA synthetases). tRNAs cope with the degeneracy of the genetic code in two manners: having more than one tRNA (with a specific anti-codon) for a particular amino acid; and 'wobble' base-pairing, i.e. permitting non-standard base-pairing at the 3rd anti-codon position.
Source: RNAcentral